Molecule: long non-coding RNA, 637 nt
Filed under: Homo sapiens (human)
Lineage: Eukaryota; Metazoa; Chordata; Mammalia; Primates; Hominidae
Description: non-protein coding lnc-DCT-1:1
Source: RNAcentral
UCACCCCUCCAUUAUUACAUACUCUUCUGCUGAGCUCCAACCUGGCCUUUGAAUCAUUGGUGCUCAAGGUGAAAUCCAUUUCAUGGCAUAAAUAAAUAGAUGAGGAAUCUGAGGCUGAGAGAGAAUAACCACUUGUCCAGGGUCAUAGAACUGGUAAGUUUCUUGCCUCUCCAUAUAAACCUCUACUGUUUGUCCUUAUUCACAAAGUAACUUGCUGGGAUUUUGACUGGGUUAUACUCUUUUUAAUACUUCCAGGAAACUCCUCCUUUAUGUAAUGUCAUCCUCACAAGUCCUCAUCAUUCCAAAUUUUUUUAACUUGAAUUUUUUUAUUAACGAAAUUUUUAAACUAAGUACUAUACAUGCAUGGUUCAAAAUUCAAAAUGUACAAAAAUAUAGAAUGAAAAUAAUUGUUCUUUCUGCUCCUGUUCCUCACCCCAUUAGGCCCAUUCCCACAGACAGCACUCAACCAGUUUCUUGUGUUUAUUCUACACAUUGACACACACAGAUGGGCAGAUAGACACAGACAAGUCACAGACACAGACAUACUCCCUGCCCCCACUCCCUCACAUGUACAUGUUAGCAUAAACAUAGUGAGUUCAUAGCUAUAUACCUUAUGUUUUUCUCUUGACUAUAUAUA